UGACACUUGCUUGCAGCACUGUAACGUAAAUCGUUAACACCGUGUCCUAAAUAGAUGUGACACGCGGUAACAGGUUUCUUUUCAGUUUAUGUCCUUACGUUAUAGGACGGGUCAUUAUAAAUUAUGCCUUUCGAUUAUCGCAACGCCUCGUCGCGUUUGGUUAAGCACAUGGUGGAACGGUAUGCACAUCACUGUACCUAACGUACUGUACACCUGUGAGCGGCAUGACGAGACAAAAGACGUUAAAACUCAUUAUUAAUCGGUGAUGCUGUACAUUCUGGAUGAUGCACAGCCACAUUUUAUAAUAGUCCUACUGUUUUUUAUUUUCGUGUCGCGCCGCUCGCGUUCAAUAUAAAGUUAGACAAGACAAUUAAUUACUGGGAGAGUAGUGGUCUAAUGGUAAGAGUCGAACUUCACGAACCUUUCACUGCUUGCAGUAAGGCUAAAGUGCUACGUGAAUAAGAUGGGUGUAGUUUUGUGCACAUUUUUUGCACUAUUGAGUUAUAAAUACUGCCCAGUAAUAAGAUGUAAAUCACAAUUCUUGUGUCAAUGUUUGUUUGUAAUCUUUUUCAGCUAUCCAUCUGAAAAAGAAAAGCUGGCACUCUCAAAGGAGAUUGUGUUGUUGGAUUAUGGUCUCAUUUGGGCAAAAAGAGGGACAUGUACCGUAAGGAUGCUUUUACAUACUUCAUUUAUGUGUAUGAAAUUACUUACUUGACAAUGUGUACAAAAACUGUACUUGACUCUAAGUAAGUGCUAUUUUUGCAUUGAUUUAUAAAAAUAAGAUUACAGAACAUCAGACGGUAGCUUCAACAGAGUUGAAGUGGGAGGACAUCAAAAAUAAAGAAUGCCAAUGACCAAACCUUCAGUCAUCAAAGAAGAUGGAUACAGGGGGACAUCAAGUUUUCCAGACUUACCGAUGGGAAAGAAGAAAUGGGAAUGUGACAAUUAUUGAGAAACUCAGGGAAAAAGCAUCUUUAGAGAAGAAAAUGGACAUCAGACAUUUAUUGAAGAAAGCUGACAGCCAACAUAAUGAUGAGAGCUGUGUUAUACAAUGUUAAGGAUACUCGUUCAUCUUCUGCUGUUUGAAUUCUGCUGUGUCAGUCCUGUGGGACUUGAUGGCGGCUGGUACCAGUGUGACGUCUUUGCUUACUAAAUGAUCAAAGGGUGUCUGAAAUCAGCUCAGCCACAGUUGGUUUCCAACGGUUCUUCAGGACAUGGAGGCCACUACGUAACUGUUGCAAUGAACGAUUCUUUUGCCUUUCCACCUGAUGUUGACAAUCUGACCUGUGCGGUACUGAAAACAACUUGCACUGACAUAUCUUAAAUAUAUCAGUGCCCUUUGUUUUGCCUCAAAAUGCACACCAGUAAUGUUUUUUGUUGAAACCAGUUAUAUUUCCUAAUUAAACUAAGGCCUAGUCCUGGAUUAAGCUAAUCCCCUGUCCGGGAAACCGCCCCUAAAUGUUUUGUGAAGGAAAUUUCUUUGAAUACACUUGUCGUUCAUUUUAAGUAUUUUUCUAAAUGUAAGAUAACAUGUUAAUGUUUCAGGACAAGUUAAAUUUUUUUGAUAACUUGCAUGUUUGAAACGAUUUCAGACAUUGUUCUAUUCAACAUGUUUAACACAGUUGCUUUUAAAUUCAAUUAAUUAUUUUAUAAAUAGUGUUUUAAAACGUAUCAAUGGAAUGUAUGUUUGAAGUAAUUAUACUUGCACUUACAUUUAUUUAAUGGGACACAAGGCAGCAUUUUUAUGUUAAUAAAUCAUCUUCGUAAGUCGGUAUAUGGUUAAAUGACUCAUUACAUGACGAAUGAAGACUCUCUCGCCCGCCCCUACCGUCUGUAGGAAGAAUACCCCACUUGCAAGUUCGCUGUAUCCGACCCGGUGUCCUUCAGUCUCGUAAAGUCUCAGAUAUAGAAAGCAUUUACUCCCAGACACUAGGGGGAGCUAGUAGAGAAAUAAUACUCAGACUUGCCUUGUGUCCCUUUAAAUUAGCAUACAUCUAGCAACAUAAAGUACUAGCAUAUUUUCAUGCAAGCAUUAAUUGUCAAAUAUUUGUUAUUUUACAAAUAAAUAGUUUGUGAACAAUA
Long non-coding RNA from Misgurnus anguillicaudatus (oriental weatherfish), 2082 nucleotides. RefSeq lists it as uncharacterized. NCBI's taxonomy places the organism in Eukaryota, Metazoa, Chordata, Actinopteri, Cypriniformes, Cobitidae. The record is from RefSeq and is a predicted model, not a curated record.